Etheostoma spectabile (orangethroat darter) is the source of this 151-nucleotide long non-coding RNA. RefSeq lists it as uncharacterized. The transcript has 3 exons. The record is from RefSeq and is a predicted model, not a curated record. NCBI's taxonomy places the organism in Eukaryota, Metazoa, Chordata, Actinopteri, Perciformes, Percidae.
UCAUUAUUAUCACAUUGUUCAUCCUUACAUUUAGGUUGAACACAUUUUUAAGACAGGUAUAUCUACAUACUAUUGUCACAUAACAUCUCUUUCAUUCUCUCUGAACACGUCUCACAAUUCAACAAACAUACAUGUGUUGUUAAGCCUCAAC